GAAGAGCCCUAGCAAGGGAGAUACCCCAGGAGCAUGAAGGUGGUUUUCCCCAGGGCAAGGUUCCUUUAUUACACUGGGGAUGGGUUGACCCCUAUGAUUUCUCCAAAUGUUGGAAACUUGACUGUAUAGUCUUGUGGUAGUGGGGGACUGCAUUCAUGUUACCUCCUC
Molecule: small nuclear RNA, 168 nt
Organism: Rattus norvegicus (Norway rat)
Lineage: Eukaryota; Metazoa; Chordata; Mammalia; Rodentia; Muridae
Product: U1 spliceosomal RNA
Source: Ensembl